CGGGGCGUAGCGCAGCUUGGUAGCGCACCUGCCUUGGGCGCAGGGGGUCGUAGGUUCGAAUCCUGUCGCCCCGACCA
Molecule: transfer RNA, 77 nt
Filed under: Bacillota bacterium
Lineage: Bacteria; Bacillati; Bacillota
Description: Firmicutes bacterium (anaerobic digester metagenome) tRNA-Pro
Rfam family: tRNA
About the family: Transfer RNA (tRNA) molecules are approximately 80 nucleotides in length. Their secondary structure includes four short double-helical elements and three loops (D, anti-codon, and T loops). Further hydrogen bonds mediate the characteristic L-shaped molecular structure. tRNAs have two regions of fundamental functional importance: the anti-codon, which is responsible for specific mRNA codon recognition, and the 3' end, to which the tRNAs corresponding amino acid is attached (by aminoacyl-tRNA synthetases). tRNAs cope with the degeneracy of the genetic code in two manners: having more than one tRNA (with a specific anti-codon) for a particular amino acid; and 'wobble' base-pairing, i.e. permitting non-standard base-pairing at the 3rd anti-codon position.
Source: RNAcentral